This is a long non-coding RNA of Gorilla gorilla gorilla (western lowland gorilla), 2332 nucleotides long. RefSeq lists it as uncharacterized. NCBI's taxonomy places the organism in Eukaryota, Metazoa, Chordata, Mammalia, Primates, Hominidae. The record is from RefSeq and is a predicted model, not a curated record. The transcript is spliced from 4 exons.
GUGAAACCUUCCUGCAGAAGCAUUGUCUUAGAAGGAGUUGAGAACUGCCUGUUUCCCUAGAAAAUCGUUGUGAUCAGAGGUUUUAAAUUGGGUCGGCCCAUAGAUCUGCCUCUGGACAAUGAAGCAAGACCUCCUUGCUUAGAUUAUGCACCUUCCAUUUCACACAAUGGACUUCACCCUUCUCCUCUCUGUAAAGAAGAUAUUUCAGCAAGAUUCAUUAAGAUCCUCAACAGUUACCGGGUUUUUAUUAUUUUUUAUUCCUAUUUUCUACAGCUUAUAAUAAUGAAACACUUUCCUCUUCAUAUUUACAUUGUGAGUGUUUAUAUAAUUUCACACUUCCUUAGGAUGGGUUGCCUAGAAUCCCUGAUCCCAGUCCUUGAUUCCUGGAUAGCACAUGCCAGUGUUCUUUGGAGAAUACAUAAGAGGAUCCAGACAAUGGCGUCCUAUUGCCUCAAAAUCUGCUGGAUGAAGUAAAAAUGAUGAAGAGUUCUGUAACACCCUGAAAGGAGGCAGUCCAUGAGGGCUCUCAGAAGUUACACCCCAGUUGUUUCACGUUGUCUCUUCCUGGAGGUGAAAGGAAACAGAUGGUGCUUCCGGGUUAAGCGGAGGCACCUCUGACCUCCAGCCCCGGGAGUCAAAACGCCAUCUGUUGACGGGGCCCCGCCAAAGCUGACGUAGACAGGUCCAGCCUCCAGGUGCCCCCACACCGUUUUCUUGCGUUAUGAAGCUGAGCGGCUUCUUUCUACUCUCUGUGAUCAUCCUCCUUUGCCUCUGCAUGACCCAGCCUGGAGUCUUGAGGAGUGCAGCUGCACGGAAACCGGGAUAUUGCCCAGAGUUUGAUCUUGACUGCCCUUUCACUCUCUUACCUAUGUGCUGGCGCGAUAAGAGUUGCAAGGGGGUCAAGAAGUAUUGCUACUACAACUGUCGGCAUCAGUGUAUGGAGCCCUGGUGGACUUUGGAUUGAGUUUACAAUCAGGAAACAUUUUCCUCUUUACAUUUACAUCGUGAGGUGGAAAGCCCUUCUUAACCAGGACUGAGGAGACACAAGUGCUACAGGCUCAGACUGGGAUAACUGGUCUCCAUGUUGUCCAUGAUCGCUCAGGCCCAGGACUUCCUUUUAGCAAGAGUUAAAUGCUUCUUACUAUGAUAACAAGAUGAAGAAAUAAAGCGUUGUAUAUUUAAAACUCUAUGAAAAUCUAAGUCUGCUGGAUUGAUCUCUUGCUCUCCCUCUCUACUCAGCCAUGUUGCAUAAUCCCUUAGGAACUGUAAAAUGGACAGAGUUACUGUUUCACAUUUAGUUUCAUCAAUUCCUGCACUUGUGUUUUUCUGAUAUAUUUGUCUCUUUCAAUAUCUCCUGACACUCAGAUUCUCUGUUGGUCAGAUUCCAGGUGCAUUUUGGAGUUAAAUUCUCUGAGUUUGCAUCCUAUGAAUGGCAUGCCGAUUAAUCCUGUAAUGGAAGAGCAAGCCAUUUUUGCUUCAGUUUUUCUGGUACUACUGCUGGUGGCCUUUCCAAGUGUUGAAGUAACAUGAUCUGCGAUUGGAUUUGGAACUUAGGGUCGGAAACUGAGCAAGAUGUACUUUAGUUCUAGGUACUUUCAUUCCUAAAAAUUGAGCCACCCUAAAUUAGGAGAACAAAAUCCUUGUGGUUCAGCCUACAUCCCUUGAGUCUUUGCUUGGAGGUUGGGCCCUAGGUCUACCUAAUAAUGAAGUGUAAUUAGCCAUGAAUUUUCCAAAUUUAUAACUCUGUGCUUCAUUCUUCCUUAACUCCCACAAAGGUUGCAGAGGUCUGGGAAAGUAAUUUUCCAAAAUUUUAUUUAUCUCUGACAAGUAUCUUAACAAUUUUGAAAAACUCCAUUUUCCCAAGCAUGUUUUAAAUUGACAUCUAAUAAUUUUAUCAUCAUUGCAUAGUUUCAAGAGAUAAAAAUUUAGGUAUAUGAUAAAUGUUGUCAUUUAAAUCAAAUGGGUAUCUUACUCUAUGAGGUUUCUAAUAGAAUCUAACUACAAUGUUCAUUUGUUAGUAACAUCUAUUAGGGAAGAAAAAAAACAUGUCCUUUUUCCUCAUCAUCUGUCUAUCUUUCACAUCAGAGAGGAACUACCCUCUCUGCAAGAGCUUCGAAGAGAGAAGCUACCCUCUCUGCGAGAGCUUCAAAGACCAGCAGAGACAUCCGAACACCCUGCCUGCAGAGAGGAGCCACCCUCUCCAGGGCCCCCUCUCUGUUGAGAGCUGAAUACUCAAGGGAUGAUCUGCCUACAGAGAGUAACUACCCACUACAGGUCUCCUCUGAGCUCUUCUAACACUAAAUAAAGCUCUUCUUCAUCGUCUUCACCCUUC